UACAGAGGUCCCAAGCGUUGUUCGGAUUCAUUGGGCGUAAAGGGUGCGUAGGCGGCGCGGUAAGUCGGGUGUGAAAUCUCGGGGCUUAACUCCGAAACUGCAUUCGAUACUGCCGUGCUUGAGGACUGGAGAGGAGACUGGAAUUUACGGUGUAGCGGUGAAAUGCGUAGAUAUCGUAAGGAAGACCAGUGGCGAAGGCGGAUCUCUGGGCCCUACCUGACGCUGAGGCGCGAAAGCUAGGGGAGCGAACAGG
Molecule: ribosomal RNA, 253 nt
Filed under: uncultured bacterium
Lineage: Bacteria
Description: partial 16S ribosomal RNA
Rfam family: Bacterial small subunit ribosomal RNA
Source: RNAcentral